GCGAUAUUUAAAAUUUGCAUGGUAGUAACAUAUAGUAUUACGUAGUUCUAAAAAUUUUUCAUGUAGAUUGUAGUAUAUGUUAUUAAGAGUCCUUUUACUAUGUUCUGAAAUAUUGCAUGCAAUUAAUUCUGUAUAUUUCAGCUUUUAGCUGCUAUUCAGAUUAACAUUUCAUUAAAUACAAAUACAUUAAAUACAAAUUCAUCUCUUAGCCUAAAUUCUCGAUGCCCACUAAGCUUGCUGUGUAAAAUUUAGAACAUGCAUAUAUAGCUAUUGCAUUGUUUUCGGGACACCCUGCAUAGAAUUUUGAAAAUUCAUUAUUUGACUUCCUCAGAACAGCUAUAGUGUUCGUAAAGACCACUGAAGAACAGUUCAAUUUGUUUUCCCGUUUAUUAAAAGUAAGGAGUUGAUUACAAAUUGCAAUAAUAAAAUAUGCAUAUACAGGGUGUAUCAAAAAAACCGCAACCUCGGAAUUUCCCAAGAAAUCGACAUUGUUUUAAAGACAAAAGAUUUUAGGCGCCUGGGAAUUUAAAAUAGCACAACUGUCAAAAUUACUGCACACGCGAGUGCAUAAAGCAAAAUUUAUGCAUUUAUUUAGUGCACAACAACAGUAAUAUGAUCUAUUAGCAAUUCGAUUUCAAUUCCCAGGGGUCUAAAAUCUUUUAUGCUUAAGAAUUGCAAAGUGAUUUCUUAGGAAAUUCCGAGGUUGCGUUUUUUUUUAUACACCCUGUAUAUACGCUGCAUACAGUAUAGGGUAUAAAAAAGGAAUUUUAGUGCAUAAUAUUUACGACCCAUGCUAAAGUUGCAGCUGAGGUAUCAUAAUAAAAGGAUAUAUACCUAAUUGUUUGUCACUGUCUAUAUUAAAACAGCAUAUUACAACGUUCAUUGAAAAAAGCUACUAAAAGACGUUUCGAUCCAAUAUAUAUAUUCAAUCUUCGUCGGUUAAACACUAAAUCGUAAUUGUCGUGCUACGAAAUAUAACUACGUGCAUCGUAAUUGUUGUCAUGAUAAACCAUAGUCUUUCGAGACAUGGUCUGGAAAGUCAGUAAACUUCAAAGCGGUUAUAAUGAGCUGUGUGUUUAUGUUGAGACGUACCUUACACCGUGCACAUCCUUUGUUUUAGGUUUAUUAAUAUUUAAAUAGGAUGGUUGAAUGACUGACUGAAACGUUGCUAUUGGAUGAUUCGCCAUUAUACUGAAAUACAAUGUGUUCAUUGACCGUGCACCGUGCACAAAACUGCA
This is a non-coding RNA of Paramuricea clavata, 1238 nucleotides long. The record is from the annotation of a GenBank genome assembly. Lineage: Eukaryota; Metazoa; Cnidaria; Anthozoa; Malacalcyonacea; Plexauridae.